CCACUUCGCCUUUACUUACCUGGAAAGAAACAAAAGGGAAAUUAAAACAAUGCAACUCCAAGAUGGAAAAAAAAAAAAAAAACAAUAGGAAAGGAAAGCCCUAAACAUAAGGCAAAGUUAGUAGUUGUAGUAGUGGUGGGGGUGGUAGUAGUAAUAGCAAUAAUAGCAGUAGCAGUAGUAGGUAGUAGUAGUAGUAGUAGUAGUAGUAGUAGUAGUAGAUGAUGUAAAAGGAGGAGGAAGUUGAGGAGGAAGAGAGCGGGAGAUGGUAGAUUGUGGUGGUUAUGUAAGUGAAAAAAAAUUGGAGUAGCAGUAGAAAUAAUAGUUAUAACAUAAUAAUAAUAAUAAUAAUAAUAAUAAUAAUAAUAAUAAUAAUAAUAAUGAUAAUAAUAAUAAUAAUAGCAGCAACAACAACAAUAAUGAGGAUACACACUCUCUUGACAUUUCAGCCCACACGCAAGAAUGGCAAGAACGGCGCCUGGAAGAACAUGUGAACACUGAUCCGCGCCAAAGAAAACGAGCUGUACGUCUUGCGUCACCUCCCGUGGCUGACUCACGCGCUGACUGCUGCUGGGUAAACACACACGCGGGGCGGCGAGACAAUAGUAUUUCCUGGGCAGCGCUUUGUAAUUACUGAUGGUCUGUUAUUGUUUACUGAUGGAGGAAACGGCUGCACACACACACACACACACACACACACACACACACACACACAAGGUCAACACGCAUAUUCAUUUAAUCCGAUAAAAAAACUUUCUUCUGUCUCGCAUUUUAAAUUAUUUCACCUUCCUCCUCCUCCCCCUCGGCACAUGACAAACGAGGAAACAACUGAUGCCACCUAACUUAAGUCAAGGCCAAGUGUGUGUGUGUGUGUGUGUGUGUGUGUGUGCAUCAGAGCGCCAAGAACACGCUUUCAAGACACUGAUGACUAGCAACAGGUGCAUCCUAAAUAUUAUCCUCAUUUCUAUAAUCAUUGCCUAAAAUAAACAAUAAAAACUGCUGCUGCCAUAUCCUGAGUACUUUUGUCAGUCGCCGGAAAGGACUACUACUUGUAACUCUUGUACCGUGAAUGUUACGUGUCAUUUGUUACGUCUUUUUUAUUCCAAAGAUUCGUUCCUCCUGUCCACCCAGAUGAUUGGACAGACUUCCCCAUCGUUUUAAGUUCUACAAUGAAUGGUUUAUGUUUGCGCUCCUGUAUUAUGAAGGGCUACUACUUGUAACUCUUGUACCAUGGAUGUUACGUGUCAGUUGCUAGGUUUUUUUUCAAAGAUUCGCUCCUCCUCUCCACCCAGAUGAUUGGACAUACUUCCCCAUCGUUUUAAGUUCUGCAAUGAAUGGUUUAUGGUCGCACUCCUGUGUUAUGAGCCCGUAUUACCAGACGCUUUCGGCUCACAAGAAAUGUUUCGAAGGGUUACAAGAGAGAUUAGUUGGGUUUUCGUGAGUGCUUUUCACGUUCACUGUCCAGAAGCCUUGUCGAACUAUCACUAGGCUCAUGAAACUACCCAAGGGAAUACCCACAAGCUCUAUAAUAGUCUUGUUAAUGUGUGUUCGUAAGCCGUAAAAUGUUUGAAAAUGUGUCCCAUUGAUUCGAGGAGUAGAGAAUAAUAUAAACCUCCAUAGACCUCAAUAAUUAGUUAAAGACAGGUCGAUUUAGUUGUGAAAGCGCGAUUGAAAUAAACUGUGUAUGGGUAUAUAUCUUUUGCUUUUGUGAAUGGCAAAGUCAGAAAAAAGUAAACCUCCGUAAACAUAGUAAAGUCGACUGCAGGUUAACUUCCCCGAGAAUACUUGACUGAAAUAGAUGGUGUAAAUAUCUUUUGCUUUUGAGGGUUAAUUUUAGGGGUGACUAAUGAUAUACGUUAAUUUCAGCUUCCUCUUCUUAGUGCUUACAAGAACGCUGCCAAAGUAUGCUGUUUUUGCGCACACGAAUUCUGGCUAAAAGCAAAAUUAGAUGUAUAUAUUCUCUCUCUCUCUCUCUCUCUCUCUCUCUCUCUCACACACACACACACACACACACACACACAUUCAUUCACACAACGACAGGAAAUAAAUAAAUAGAAAGCAGAAUCGACCUUAAUACACAUGUCGUUGUUGUUGUUGAUAUUGUUGUUACUGAUGUAGGAACGUGACUGAGCGAAUUUAGGUCGAUUCUGUAUUAUUGUUUAUAUAUUAAUGUUGGUGUGUGUGUGUGUGUGUGUGUGUGUGUGUGUGUGUGUGUGUGUGUGUGUGUGUGUGUGUGUGUGUGUGUGUGUGUUGCGGGUUGAGGGGAUGAUGUAAACAAACUUAUUUCCAAUUUCCACCACCACCACCACCACGACCCCUACCACCACCUCCACCACCACCUGCUGCUACACGCCUCCACCUGACAGCUGGCCGCUCAACCCCCCACCCCCCCACCACAGCACCGUCACCUCCACUUUCCCGAACCACAACAACCAUCAUCAUCAUCAUCACCACCACCUGCUUCACCACCAAAACUAUCACAUUUAUAGCAUCAUCCUUUUUAAUCCUUCUUCCUCAUCUUUUCCGUCUCCGUCUUUUUCUCAUCCUUUUAUCUUCCAGUUUCAUUAUUCUUCGUUUCUUCUCUUCUACUUUCUAUUGAUUUUUUUUCUUUUUCUUCUUCUUCUGCUUCUUCUUCUACUUUUUCUUCUACUUCUGUUUCCUCUGCAUCUUUUUCUUCUGUGUCUUCUUCUUUUUCUUCACCUUUUUUUUAUUUUCCUUAUUCUGUAUUUUUCUUCUUCUCUUUCUUCUUUUCUUUUUUUCUUCUUUUUCUUUUUCUUCUUAUUUUUCUUCUUCUAUUUCCUUCUUCUUCUUCUUCUUCUUCUUCUUCUUCUUCUUCUUCUUCUUCUCCUCCUCCUCCUCCUCCUCCUCCUCCUCCCACACACGCCUCUUCACAAAACACUAUUAAACGCCUUCACCAGUCGUAAAGGUAAGCUUACACCUGUUUAGUUUCUUUUUUAUGCUGCGGAAGGGAGGAAUGGUAGUGUAUAUACUCUCUCUCUCUCUCUCUCUCUCUCUCUCUCUCUCUCUCUCUCUCUCAGGGGUAAACACAUAGGGGAAUCACACAAACACAAGACGAGGGGAAAGACGGUAAAUCAAGGAAGAGGAAGAGCAAAACAAGAGGAAGAGUGGUAAAACGAGAGAAGAAAAGGGGGAGAGGAAAACAAGAGAAAGAGGAUACGGCGAAAUGAGAGGAAGAUGGGAAGGAGAGGAAAAAUAAGAUGGGAAAUGGGGGAAGAGAACAAGGGGAUAACAAGAGAUGAUUUUUUUUUUACAGAAGAGGAAACAGUGCAAGGACUUAAAAAAAAAGGAAAACAAAAAAAAUAAAUAAAUAAAAUAAAAAAGCCCGCUACUUACUGCUCCUAAAUGAAUGGAAACAAGAUGAAAAUGAAGGGAAGACGAAGAGGAGACAAAGAAGAGGAUAAGGAGGAAAUAAUACUAAGAUGAAAGGGGGGGAAAAUGAUAAACAUGGGAAAAUAAGAGGAAGAAGAAAAUAAGGGUAAAAGGAAGAGGGAAAACCAGGGGAAGAGGACAAGGGGAAAAUAAGAGGAAGAAAAUAAGGGUAAAAGGAAGAGGACAAGGGGAAAAUAAGAGGAAGA
Molecule: long non-coding RNA, 3593 nt
Organism: Eriocheir sinensis (Chinese mitten crab)
Lineage: Eukaryota; Metazoa; Arthropoda; Malacostraca; Decapoda; Varunidae
Exons: 2
Source: RefSeq, a predicted model, not a curated record